RNAcentral lists this unclassified non-coding RNA (316 nucleotides) under plant metagenome. RNAcentral's name for it is "partial contains 5.8S ribosomal RNA, internal transcribed spacer 2, and large subunit ribosomal RNA". The stretch from base 1 to 105 matches the Rfam family "5.8S ribosomal RNA", at positions 50 to 154 of the family's 154-position model. The record is from RNAcentral.
GAACUGCGAUAAGUAAUGUGAAUUGCAGAAUUCAGUGAAUCAUCGAGUCUUUGAACGCACAUUGCGCCCCCUGGCAUUCCGGGGGGCAUGCCUAUCCGAGCGUCAUUGCUGCCCUUCAAGCCCGGCUUGUGUGUUGGGUCGUCGUCCCCCCCGGGGGACGGGCCCGAAAGGCAGCGGCGGCACCGUGUCCGGUCCUCGAGCGUAUGGGGCUUUGUCACCCGCUCGAUUAGGGCCGGCCGGGCGCCAGCCGGCGUCUCCAACCUUAUUUUUCUCAGGUUGACCUCGGAUCAGGUAGGGAUACCCGCUGAACUUAAGC